RNAcentral lists this transfer RNA (81 nucleotides) under Blastomyces dermatitidis ATCC 18187. Its description in RNAcentral is "tRNA-Und (NNN) (tRNA-Und-NNN-31-1)". Lineage: Eukaryota; Fungi; Ascomycota; Eurotiomycetes; Onygenales; Ajellomycetaceae. The record is from RNAcentral.
GCCAGUGUGGCUCAGUUGAUAAGACUGAUAAUCAAGAUCACACACAUUAGAGAUGUCUGAGUUCGAAUCUCAUCACUGACA